GAAUGUGAUUUCUCUAAGAGACCAUUGUUGUCUAAUGCCAGGAAGUCCGGCCGUGUUUCCCACGCCCCAGCCCCCAUCGUCACCAGCCACCCUCUUCCUUCCGCAAAGCCUUGGGCAGCCGCCCCGGACAGCCUCUGGGCUCCAGGUUCGUCCAUCGUCCCAGGGGGAUUGGUGACUACACGGACAACCCAGCUACCUCCACACCAGCAGCCCUUUUUCUGGCUCCCCUGCCUCUGCCUCUCACUCCCGAGGUCCCGGGCAUCACUUGGAUAUCACCCAGUGGAGCACCCUGCUCUCCGUCACCUCCUGAACUCCUCGCCUGCCUGUCCACGGACUCCCACGUCACCGUUCUCUAACCUCUGCUUUGUGGCCGAUCAGCGCCUCUCUGAGUCACAGAGCCCAGGUCUUCCUGCCAGUCUCCUGCCCUCUUUGCCCUGUCUUUGUGUGGCCCCGUCUGGCAGAGUCCCCGUUCUGGACCGGCGGCUCUGUCUGAUGCUUUCGGCCCGCACGGAGGCAGCGAGCUGGCUGGGGGAAGGACGCACCGCAAGGCAGACUCCCUGCCGCUGCCCGACUCCUCGUUCUUCAAAAGCGCCUGGCGUUCCUGCCACGUUCCUGAGCGUCACACCUUCCUCCCCACACUGCUGCCUCCGCCCUUGCUGUCAGCCAAGGCCGUCGCCACCUCCGUCCCAGGGAGAGAAGUCAUCAGCAGACUCGGCGGCGUCGCCCCACAAGCCCUCAGCCACGCCUGCCCCCGCAGGGGCUCAGCCUUCUCCCCCAGGUUUAAGGGCUCUGCUCCAUUGUGGCUCCGCCUCCCUUCCCACCACGGCCCCAUGCUCGCUGGGGGCAGGAAGCCUCAGCCCCGGGCUCCAAGUCCCCGUCCCCACGCAGGCAGUCCUGAAUUUCCUUCCCGCUGCCCCUCUCCGCCCUGCCUGGAGCAGCGCCCGGGCUGAGAGGGGCCGCCCCGACGUGGCGUGGCGAUGAGCGGGAAGGCCCAGCGCCGGUGGACAAGGAUGAGGAUCCGCACCCAGGCGGGCCAGCAGUGAUGCCCCCGUCCCCUCGGAGAAUGGCUGCCCUGGGCAGGUGCUUCCCC
RNAcentral lists this long non-coding RNA (1090 nucleotides) under Oryctolagus cuniculus (rabbit). RNAcentral describes it as "lncRNA (ENSOCUG00000030730.1)". Lineage: Eukaryota; Metazoa; Chordata; Mammalia; Lagomorpha; Leporidae. The record is from RNAcentral.